RNAcentral lists this ribosomal RNA (464 nucleotides) under uncultured bacterium. RNAcentral describes it as "SSU rRNA". It matches the Rfam family "Bacterial small subunit ribosomal RNA", at positions 26 to 518 of the family's 1533-position model. The record is from RNAcentral.
AGGACGAACGCUGGCGGCGUGCCUAACACAUGCAAGUCGCACGGGACCAGCAAUGGUUCAGUGGCGGACGGGUGCGUAACACGUGAGGAACAUGCCUAUCGGCGGGGGAUAGCCGGCCCAACGGCCGGGUAAUACCGCGUACGACCUUCGGGUGGCAUCACCUGAUGGUGAAAGCAGCAAUGCACCGAUAGAGUGCCUCGCGGCCUAUCAGCUAGUUGGUGAGGUAACGGCUCACCAAGGCGACGACGGGUAGCUGGUCUGAGAGGAUGUCCAGCCACACUGGGACUGAGACACGGCCCAGACUCCUACGGGAGGCAGCAGUGGGGAAUCUUGCACAAUGGGCGAAAGCCUGAUGCAGCGACGCCGCGUGCGGGAUGAAGGCCCUCGGGUCGUAAACCGCUUUCAGCAGGGACGAUAGUGACGGUACCUGCAGAGAACGCCCGGCACUACGUGCCAGCAGCCGC